GAGCGUAGUGGUCACCAUCAAAAACUAAUUUAAUUCUGUGCGGUGGCCACCAAUGCGGCGGCGCUACGGUAUUUUCCCCACAUUCACCACCAAAAGUUCGGUGUUUGUACAGUAGUACGACGUGUAGGACUCUGUAUAGUACUUGUCUUAUGGAAAAUUUGUACAGCGUGACACAAGACGUUCCUGGAACUUUGUUCCGGAUUCGCCUGUCAGAUGGCUGAUUCCUCAGAGUUUUGUGAAUUUUCUUAUUAGUGAAAAAUGAUAAAUUAGUGUUUUUUCAAGCAAUUGACCAGCAGGAUUCCAGAGAACAGUACAGUAUUUCACAACUGAUUCAAAUCUUCGAAACUGGACAUUGUUGUUAACAACGUGAUUGGAAGAUGAAAGAACACCCUGGAACUCCACGUACUCAAAUAUAGUUCAGAUAAAACUGGAGCCAGCAGACGAUAAUCUGUUAAAUGACGAGAAGGACGGACACAUGUAAUUUUGCAAAGGUCUACUGCUUCAGGUUCGGAGCAAUCUUUUCGGAAAUAUAUUUCCUAACACCGUAUGUUACCGAAAAUGUGCUGAAAUAGCUAAAUGUUAUGAAGAACUAAAGUAACUAAAAAUAUGUUCUCGGCAGCGAUUCGUACAUUAAUUGCACUGAUUUAAAUAAAUUUUUCAAAUGUUCUCCGUUUUGUAUGGUAUUCGCACUUUUACGAUUUGAGUAGCACAUUUUGUAUUUGGGUAUAUUGAGAUGGCAACCCUAAAACAUUAAAUUUUUUCGUAUUUUAAUAAUUAAUAUUUCAAGUGGAACUUUUCACAAGUAAUCUAUGAUGUUGGAGUUAGAUUGGACUGAUCAUAUUUAACAUAACUUUCGUUUACAGAUAUUUGUUUUUCUGAUUUUAUAUCUAAAUAUAAGUAACCUAAUUUCCGUCAAUUAUUGAGAUAUAGAAAUGUCAUUUCCUGAACAUAUUUUCUGUCUUUCCCUGCGUUGUUUUUGCGUUCGUAAAUAAUUUUAUAUUAUAUACAACUUUAUAAAACUUAACAAAAAAUAGUUAAAGAUUUGAGAAAAAACAUCUUUGAUGCAAAACAUGUCAUUUUAGCGCGAUUCGCCAUUCUUUUAGAAAAUACUACUAAUUACACUUAAUAUUUUUGGAGAUUUGACUAAGAUUUUUCACAAAUGUGACACAUUGCAUGGAUUAAUACAAGAACACUUUUUUUUGAUAAAAUAUUAAUCAAUAGUUAAUUAUUAUUGAAAGAAAAUGUUUUUUGUGCCUAAUUAUCAUCUUAUUUUAAUUAUUAGGAUGAAUGAAAUGCCACUCUUUACUAAUCUUUUUAAGAAAAUCGGCAAAAAACAUUUAUGAAAAUUUAAAAUUAAGGAAAAUCUUCAGCACAAACUUUUUAAGAUAAAACCGGAUUUAAAAUGCACACAAUUCUCUAUCUAAUUAUGUAAUGAAAAAUUGAAAAAAACCCAAAAAUGCUCAAAAUGCCACUAAAAUCGCGAAAGUACGAUAUAAUAACAUAAGAAUUUGUUAAAUUUAUAAUAAAAUUAAUUAAUUAUGUAUUUUGUAAAUUGAAAUGCAAAUAAAUUUAAUUUUAGUAUA
This is a long non-coding RNA of Phlebotomus papatasi, 1583 nucleotides long. RefSeq lists it as uncharacterized. The transcript is spliced from 3 exons. Lineage: Eukaryota; Metazoa; Arthropoda; Insecta; Diptera; Psychodidae. The record is from RefSeq and is a predicted model, not a curated record.